UACAGAGGUGGCAAGCGUUGUUCGGAAUUACUGGGCGUAAAGGGCGAGUAGGUGGCCAUCUAAGUCAGACGUGAAAUCCCCCGGCUUAACCUGGGAACUGCGUCUGAUACUGGACGGCUAGAGUAUGGGAGAGGGGGGUGGAAUUCCGGGUGUAGUGGUGAAAUGCGUAGAGAUCCGGAGGAACCCCAGAGGCGAAGGCGGCCCCCUGGCUCGUACCUGACGCUCAGCCACGAAAGCAUGGGGAGCGAACGGG
RNAcentral lists this ribosomal RNA (253 nucleotides) under uncultured bacterium. Its description in RNAcentral is "partial 16S ribosomal RNA". It matches the Rfam family "Bacterial small subunit ribosomal RNA", at positions 524 to 776 of the family's 1533-position model. The record is from RNAcentral.